Molecule: long non-coding RNA, 400 nt
Filed under: Mytilus galloprovincialis (Mediterranean mussel)
Lineage: Eukaryota; Metazoa; Mollusca; Bivalvia; Mytilida; Mytilidae
Source: RNAcentral
CCAAAACUUAAUCUUAGUCAACCCUUUGUAGUAUGGAACCUUGCGGUACAAUGUCAGAGAGAUCCAUAUACUUACACAAACGUAUUGUCUGGUAACUAUAAAGAUAUUGCCCCUAAUUCCUAAACUGUUGGUACCAUAACCACCAAAAUAAAUCCCCACCUUUCGUUUGUGCCAGUUCUUGUCCGAUAACCUUAUGAGUCUUCGGACGACGACGACGACGAAAUCAUAGCAUUAUUUGAACCCAUAAAACAUUUUGAGGUCGUAUUAAGUCAAAUUACAAAUGUGAGAGCACUCAAAAAUCUUGCAAGACUAAAAUAAUCUUAUGUAUCUAAGUCAUGUUUAAUUUGCAAAUAAAAAAGGUAACUUAAUUUGUGUAAAAAGUGAAAUAACAAAAAUACUG